CGUUCCCGGGCCUUGUACACACCGCCCGUCACAUCACGAAAGUGGAUUGUACUAGAAGUCCUAAUCAAACAGGCCCAAGGUGUGAUUCAUGAUUGGGGUGAAGUCGUAACAAGGUACCC
RNAcentral lists this ribosomal RNA (119 nucleotides) under uncultured bacterium. Its description in RNAcentral is "partial 16S ribosomal RNA". It matches the Rfam family "Bacterial small subunit ribosomal RNA", at positions 1369 to 1501 of the family's 1533-position model. The record is from RNAcentral.